Molecule: long non-coding RNA, 1331 nt
Organism: Phyllopteryx taeniolatus (common seadragon)
Lineage: Eukaryota; Metazoa; Chordata; Actinopteri; Syngnathiformes; Syngnathidae
Exons: 4
Source: RefSeq, a predicted model, not a curated record
CGGAAGCGGUAUUGCGUGUCCUACAGGGAUACAGCAGCCAAUUAUAGUGCAGGGCGUGUGUCCUGGAGCCAAUGAUAUUGGAGUAGGGCGUGUCUUGCCUAGAAAUUGCGUGGGAAUCGUAAUAACGCUUGAUGACAGGCGCGCCAAGCAGCCUUUGGUUCGUCAGAGGAGCUAAUGGUCAGAGCUAACUAGCUUUCCGUAACUAGUUAACAAAAUUUGUAGUUUCAAGCCAACAUUUCUGAAUGAGUGGAUGACUUUUGUUUAUUAUUGCAAUAUACUUUUGAGGAUGAUCAUUAUGACCUUUAAAAGUGAAUUAAAUACCAAAAAUACAACUUUUUGGAGGGACUGGACCGUCAACAUCAGCCUCCAUGGAAACGGAUCAUCUUGAGGAAUCGACCUUGUCUGCAAUUAAUCUUCAAUUUCAUUUUUCCCGUACCGGAGCCGCGUUGCGGAGCCCUGCCGAAGUAAAGCGCUGCACUGGCCUGGCUGGAGAAAGCCCACCUCUUAUUGUCAGUCAAGCAGCGGAGCAUAGUUUGUGCCGGGCCGCGGUCCAAACAGACGUGAAGCUAUUCUAUUUCCGUCUACUGCCAUGUGAGCACCACCACUGCUGCAGAUUGAAGGGGCGGGAGAAAGUCUCUGUGUAAUUGCAUACUGAGAUGUAAUUGCACGACAAGCCGCCUGCUGCUGCUGCUCCAGCUCCUCAGCCGUCAUCUGCACAAACUCCUUGACAAUGGCGUUGAGUAGCCGCCGUGCCUCGUAGUCCGUCAGCGUCACCCGCUCCGACAUGGACUCCAACGCCGGUCUGCGGCAGGUGUACGACACUCACCUGGCGGGGGCAGCUUGCGAACAGUACAUCUGGCAGAUGACCAGGGCAUAGGCGACGAGGAACGCGGAGAUCUUCAACAUAACCAUGGUCCCCCCCUGCAAGACACACACAAACACACCAUUUCUAGAAAAUCCUCAAUAUCCCUGAAAGCAUCCCACCAGGAUUGAGGGACUGCCAGUUCUGACGGGUGGGACAUGGCUACAGCGUGCGCGUGUGUGUGUGUGUGUGUGUGCGUGUGCGUGUGUGUGUGUGUCGGUGGGGAGAGGCGAAGGAUGACAAAGAGGAAGAGGAGGAGACUCCAGCUAAUUAAAUGAAAUAUACUGUGCAAAAAUAUGAAAGGGGAAAUGAACAUAAGAAUAACUGUGCUAAAAUAUUAGUUGAAUUUUUUUUGUUAAAACAACACUGCUAAAAUAUUUGUUAAAACAUAACCAUGAUAAAACUAUUAGGACGGAAUGUUUGUUCAAGCAUAACUAUGUUAUAAUAUCAGCAAACAGUUUUUGUUAAA